CCUUCGGGUUGUAAAACUCUGUCUUCGGAGACGAACCCGUACGGGAGGAAAUGCCCGUGCGUUGACGGUAUCCGAGGAGGAAGCCCCGGCUAACUACGUGCCAGCAGCCGCGGUAAUACGUAGGGGGCAAGCGUUGUCCGGAAUCACUGGGCGUAAAGCGCGCGCAGGCGGCAUUUCACGUCUGGGGUGAAAGUCCAGAGCUCAACUCUGGGAUGGCCUUGGAAACGGGAGUGCUUGAGCGUCGGAGAGGCAAGGGGAAUUCCACGUGUAGCGGUGAAAUGCGUAGAGAUGUGGAGGAACACCAGUGGCGAAGGCGCCUUGCUGGCCGAUUGCUGACGCUGAGGCGCGAAAGCGUGGGGAGCAAACAGG
RNAcentral lists this ribosomal RNA (369 nucleotides) under uncultured bacterium. RNAcentral's name for it is "bacterial SSU rRNA". It matches the Rfam family "Bacterial small subunit ribosomal RNA", at positions 415 to 776 of the family's 1533-position model. The record is from RNAcentral.